GACGAACGCUGGCGGCGUGCUUAACACAUGCAAGUCGAACGAAGAGAGAUGGAAGCUUGCUUCUAUGGAUCUUAGUGGCGAACGGGUGAGUAACGCGUAAUCAACCUGCCCUUCAGAGGGGGACAACAGUUGGAAACGACUGCUAAUACCGCAUACGAUCUAAUUUCGGCAUCGAGAUUAGAUGAAAGAUGGCCUCUAUUUAUAAGCUAUCACUGAAGGAGGGGAUUGCGUCUGAUUAGCUAGUUGGAGGGGUAACGGCCCACCAAGGCGAUGAUCAGUAGCCGGUCUGAGAGGAUGAACGGCCACAUUGGGACUGAGACACGGCCCAGACUCCUACGGGAGGCAGCAGUGGGGAAUCUUCCGCAAUGGACGAAAGUCUGACGGAGCAACGCCGCGUGAGUGAUGACGGCCUUCGGGUUGUAAAGCUCUGUUAAUCGGGACGAAUGGUUCUUGUGCAAAUAGUGCGAGGAUUUGACG
RNAcentral lists this ribosomal RNA (477 nucleotides) under Veillonella atypica. Its description in RNAcentral is "bacterial SSU rRNA". It matches the Rfam family "Bacterial small subunit ribosomal RNA", at positions 28 to 474 of the family's 1533-position model. Lineage: Bacteria; Bacillati; Bacillota; Negativicutes; Veillonellales; Veillonellaceae. The record is from RNAcentral.